GACUUUCCUGUGAUGAAAUACAGAUUCCUCUUUAAAGAUCUCAGUGCAAAUCCCAGAAUACACUGAGGCGUCAGUGAUGUCUAUGCCGCUCUCAAUCAGGUCCUCCUCAUAGAACAUCACAUUGCCCUUCAUCAGCUGUUUGAAAGCCAGUUCAGCAAGUUUCACAAUCACAUCUCUGUUGGACUGCAGGUGUUGCUUUGGUUUUCUUUCAUCAUACUUCUGAUUCCUCAUGUUGAUCUGAGUCAGCAAGAAGUGGAUGUACAUUUCACUCAGAGUUUGAGGGAUUUCUGGACUUUCAUCUUGUUUCAGGAGGUUGAAGCACAGUGGCUGAGAUCCAGCAGAAGACGGGUAUGUGACACAUGAUGUUGAGGCUUCUUGAUCUUCUUAUGUGUGAGAUGAUUCUGCUGGCUUGAUGCUCAUCACUGAUUCUCUUCCUGAAAUAUUCCUCCUUCUGAGACUCAUUGAAUCCCUGAAUUUCUG
Long non-coding RNA from Labeo rohita (rohu), 480 nucleotides. RefSeq lists it as uncharacterized. The transcript has 3 exons. Lineage: Eukaryota; Metazoa; Chordata; Actinopteri; Cypriniformes; Cyprinidae. The record is from RefSeq and is a predicted model, not a curated record.